GAAGUAAAAGUCGUAACAAGGUUUCCGUAGGUGAACCUGCGGAAGGAUCAUUACAGAGAGGGGCUUCGCGCUCCAGGGGGCUUCGGUCUCCGACUCUCAACCCUGUGACAACUUACCUAUCGUUGCUUUGGCUGGCCUCGGGGUCAAGCUCGUGCCGGAUUUUCCCGGCGAGUGCUCGCCAUAAGCCCCUCUAAAACUCGUUUUGUUAGUGUCGUCUGAGGUUUUUUAUAUCGAAGAAGCAAAACUUUCAACAACGGAUCUCUUGGUUCUGGCAUCGAUGAAGAACGCAGCGAAAUGCGAUAAGUAAUGUGAAUUGCAGAAUUCAGUGAAUCAUCGAACCUUUGAACGCACAUUGCGCCCCUCGGUAUUCCGGGGGGCAUGCCUGUCCGAGCGUUAUUACACCUCUCAAGCGUAGCUUGGUAUUGGGCCUCGCUCAACCUGCCAUACCGGGGCGUGCCUGAAAAGUAUUUGGCGGUCCGGCGUGACUUUUGAACGUAGUAGAAAUCUCAACCGUUCUGAAAGCCUUUCACGCUGAGUCCGGCCGCAAAAACUCCUCAAAUCAAUUCAAGAUUGACCUCGGAUCAGGUAGGGAUACCCGCUGAACUUAAGCAUAUCAAUAAGCGGAGGAAAAGAAACCAACAGGGAUUGCCCUAGUAACGGCGAGUGAAGC
RNAcentral lists this small RNA (670 nucleotides) under Ramalinaceae sp. KWS 25. Its description in RNAcentral is "eukaryotic LSU rRNA". The stretch from base 243 to 396 matches the Rfam family "5.8S ribosomal RNA". The record is from RNAcentral. Lineage: Eukaryota; Fungi; Ascomycota; Lecanoromycetes; Lecanorales; Ramalinaceae.